CUCCUCUUUCUCUUUCUCCACCUUCUUUUCAGUGAAAAUUACUGUCUGUUUCGAUACACUACACUUCUCAUCAUCAUCAUCAGUUGUCAUCCAACUUCGAAAGAUUUACUGUGAUUACCAGUUUUGCUUGCUUUCUACCUCAUCUUUGUCCAUUUUGUUGAUCGUAAUGAUGUUAUCUUCCAACGGUGCAAAUGCUUCUGAUUUAUCUAAAGUCACAAGUAAAACAAAGUUAUUUUUGUUGAUCCUGAUUGGAAUUCAGUUUACUUUGAGUCUAAUUGAAUUUGUCUUAGCCAUUGUCAAUGGAUAUGUUGAAGCCAUCCUGAUCACUGUGAUAAGUGUCUGCAUUGAUGGAACCCUUUUGAGUGCAAUCUUCAUGCAAUGGAAAUCCGUAUUACGAGUUUUCCGUACAAUAAUCAUUGUUAUUGUAAUAAUUUGUAUCAUUGCCUCACUGGCAGGAAUCCUUGUCCUUGUUGGCGGUGAAAAAUUGGAGAAACAUCAAGUUGCCGAAGAUCUGAUUACCGUCAUAAUUGGUUCACUAAUUUAUUCACUUUUAGCUUACCUGUUGGGCAAAUAUCUCGAUCAAAUCUCCGUCAGCGAGCAGUUCAGCUACAGUACAUAAUCAUUUGUAUCUUAAUCUCUAUCAUCACCCCACCAUCAUCAUCAAUUUUAAAUAUUCAAUUCAUUAUCACCAUUUUUCACACCAACAUCAUCGAGUACGUUUCUCAUACCAUUACUCAAGGCUUAUGGACUAACUCAUUUUUUGGCAAUUGUCGCUUUUUGGCCCUUUUCGGAUCAUUUGAGUAUUCAGAUGAUCUGUUUAUCGAUCGAUCUUGUCUGAGCUUAAACAUAAUUGGAAGAUGCGUUGAAUAACUUAUCCAGCGGACCAGAAUCAAGGAAAAAACAUAUCGAUUCAAGGCAAACCCAGCUAUUCUCAAUGAGCCUGAUUCAACAUAGUUACAAUUGUUUGUAUUUUUUUCAAAACAAUUGUAUCUAUAGAGACUUUUCAUGUUUCACCUUUUUUUCAUUUUUAUACACUUUUUCCUUCCAUCCAUUUUAUACUUAAACAUGCAAACAUUUUUUUACCCAAUUUUUAAUCGUUCACUUUGAUCAUUAAUUUCGAUCAUUCGUAAUCUUUAAAUCAUCUUGCAAAUACUCAUCAAUCAAUUGUAAUACACUUUGAUGCAAAAACAAUAAAUUUUUUGUAAUUUUCCAAUCA
This is a long non-coding RNA of Tetranychus urticae (two-spotted spider mite), 1216 nucleotides long. RefSeq lists it as uncharacterized. NCBI's taxonomy places the organism in Eukaryota, Metazoa, Arthropoda, Arachnida, Trombidiformes, Tetranychidae. The record is from RefSeq and is a predicted model, not a curated record.